AGGAUGAACGCUGGCGGCGUGCUUAACACAUGCAAGUCAUGGGGGCCCAUCAAUGGGCAACCGGCGAACGGGUGCGUAACACGUGAGCAACCUACCCAGGUGUGGGGGAUAGCCGUCCCAACGGACGGGUAAUACCGCAUACGCUCAACACGAGGCAUUUCGAGUUGAGGAAACCUUCGGGGCACCAUGAGGGGCUCGCGGCCUAUCAGCUAGUUGGCGAGGUAACGGCUCACCAAGGCUACGACGGGUAGCUGGUCUGAGAGGAUGACCAGCCACAUUGGGACUGAGAAACGGCCCAGACUCCUACGGGAGGCAGCAGUGGGGAAUCUUGCGCAAUGGCCUAACGGCUGACGCAGCGACGCCGCGUGAGGAUGACGCUCGUUCGGAGU
Molecule: ribosomal RNA, 389 nt
Filed under: uncultured soil bacterium
Lineage: Bacteria
Description: bacterial SSU rRNA
Rfam family: Bacterial small subunit ribosomal RNA
Source: RNAcentral